AGUCAUAUGGGUGUUAAGUCUAUGGGUUUGGAAUCUGUCACUGAAAUCACUCAUUCAAAAGUAUGACUUCAUAGUAGGGUCACUUAGGUUUGUUUUUUACAUAAAAUACAUCUGAUAUUUCUUACUUAGGAAGUUUUACUAUGUCCAUUAAAAUGAUUAAAUGGGGAGGCCAUCAAGAUUCAUUUAGUAGCUGAAAAGCAGUUUUUAAAAUAGACUAGGAUGAAUUUAAUAGGGGCUGUUGUGACCUUCAGGGGAAUUUUUUAUAGACAGCCUCCAUACUGUAAUUGGGGAAAUUUUUGUCUUUUACUUCCAUUCAAUAGUAGCAAACUGGUGGUUUUAUAAAAUUAACAUAGUGUGUUAUAUAAACAUGCCCUUUACUGAUAUUUAACACAUUUUUCUCAAAGCCUUUUUCUUUUCUUUCCUUUUUUUUUUUAAACAAAAAUCAAAAUAAAAAGAUUAACUGGC
Molecule: long non-coding RNA, 465 nt
Filed under: Bos taurus (domestic cattle)
Lineage: Eukaryota; Metazoa; Chordata; Mammalia; Artiodactyla; Bovidae
Description: long non-coding RNA NONBTAT026715
Source: RNAcentral